GCAAACAAACAAUAGGUACAUCUGAAAACAUCAGUAAUGAACUUAAGAACAUAGGUAUAUGAAUUCCCUAAUUCUAUAAAAAGUUAAGACUGUCAAGCAUCAUCUAUUGCAUGUAGAAGAUCCAUGACUAGAUAUUAUCAAUGCUCAACAAAUCUCAGAAUUAAUGCUACACCUUCAGGUUAAUCAAGCUCUUAAGGAACUGAUAAAGGCUUCAAAAUCUAAGCUCAGACCAGAGGAUUGGUCAUACUUGCCAGAGGAAGCAUCCGGUAAGAUCACAGCAACAAGCAUAUUUUUAUGCCAGUGCCAAUCAAUAGCAUCGAGUAUAUAUACCAUCUCAUAUUUGACAUUUUAUAUAACUGGUUUUUCAUUUUUUUAACAGGGUGGCUCGUGUUGGGGAUGCCAAUGUCACCAAGUGUAAAGAGCAAUGAAGGAGCAAGUGGACUGGUAGCUGUGUACCACUUAUUAGGGAAGGUACAACUUAGCUUCCUUUACUUCAUUGGGGUAUUUUUGAUGGGAUUUCAGCACAUGAGAAAUGUUCUCAGAAUUAUGAAGCCUGUCAGAGUUGCAGCCUCCGAUUCGUAAGGUAAAACUGUGAUGAACAAUAUGAACUUCUAUUUCUUUUGCUUCAAUCUGUAUUCAUGAUAUAUCUAAAACUUGAAUUUGAAUCCUCAUUCUCACUUUGGUAAGCAUGUUCUCAAAAUGGGUCAGGUACAAGAAGAUUCUGUUCUUAAUCUACUUCCUUACCUUCACAAGGGUGUUGUCCUUCGGAAUAGCAGUUUUUUUUGCAUCUGCUAUGUAUUCUUUCAAUCAAAAAAGAGCUAUUGUAUGUAUUCUGGAAUAAAUUCCAACAGGUGUCUAUUGCUGUACCAUUUUUAUUCUCUGUAUGUAUACUUUUUCGUUCAUGGAAUGCAAAAUUACAUGCUAUUUGAUGCACUAAGGAUGAAAAGCUAUUUAAAGAUUGACUUGCAUUUGAAAUUGCAAGUUGCUCCUCAUUUUCACAUCGUUCGCAGUUAUCUUGUAGUAACCCAAGCUACAGGAUUUUCCAUCAUCCACAGAUGCUUCCCAUGUAGGCACUCCUUUUUUACUCUUUCAGUAUUAUAAGAACAAAAGUGAUAAAGGAGGUUCGGUGAGCUCUCACUAAAUCUAAAUCAUAUGAUAUUCUAUACAAGGUUCGAAAACAUAAAUUGAAGCCUUCAGAAGGAUAGCACAAUAAAUUUUUGGAUGAAUGUUUAUAUUUCAUAUCUAAAAGCGGAGAUUCCUACUCUGGCUCAGCCACCACCCAGGUAAUCUUUGCAACACGAACAAUUCAGGCAAAUGAACGUAUCUUUUGUAUUCGAGCAGGAUAUCUUAUGGAUAUGAUCCAAGCAAGGAAGUGUCUGAAUGCCAUAGCAUGCAACAAAAGGAUGGCACUUACAGAGUGUCGAAACUAUGCAACAAAAUUUCUGUACACCAUAAUCCAAUAUACCUAAUCCAUUAUACUUCCAAAGGGAGUGCACUGGUGUCCUAAUUUGGGUGUUGUUAUACGUAAUAGCCGAAUCGACUUCCAAAAGGUAUCCUAAUAUUCAAUGUUCACAAAAUCUUCAAAAAUUCCUAUAUUUCUACUGAUACAAUUAACUUUUUUAUAUCCCAUAGGAUGGAGUUGUCCCGAUUUUUCUAUGAAACGAGAUGCGGCGUUUUGUCCCGCUCCAUCCUGACAUUUAGAAUGGAAGAUGUCCUAAAGCGCACCAAACAAAAUGUUGGAAUGAUAACGAAACUCAAUACUCAAAAUGGUACCUCGUCCUGAUGUCCCGUGGGAUGUCCUACUAGGACUUGAGUUCGUGGAUACAAGCAUACCAACAAAUGGGCGACUAUAAGUUACUUUAACCUCGGUGGACGACAAAACAUGGAAUGCAAAAAACUGGAUUCGGUGCAUAAGCCAAGAAAUGGCAAUCGGAUAGGAUAUACCAUUCAAUGAAUUCUUCAUUGUUGUAGCUUCCGAUGCAGUGGCUAUAAUAGAGAAUCAAGACAUUGGUACCUAUAUCAGUUCCCACUUCUUGGAAUUAAAAGUCGAGAAUAUUCAGAAACUAUUCAAUCUUACAGGAGAAGGGACGUUUUAUUUCUCUUAAAAAAAAUGUUAUGGUGCUCAAUAAUGAGAAAAAUUUUCUACAAAUUAGAUAGAGUACUUCUAUUGUCCCACAUAGCUUUUGCUUCGAUAAGGUCCUGUUUGACAUCAUUUUCAGUUUUAAAUUUUUAUUAUUUUUAAAAAAUAUAAAAUCAGAAACAGUGUUUGUAAUCUAAUAUUUAUAUUCAGUACCUUUUUUUCUUAGGACCAAAGAAUUUCAUUUUUAAAGCUUUGAAAACCAAAAUUGCUUGUGACCGCCAUCAUGGCGGUCACCUUCGUUGCCCUCUGCCGCCCCACGCCACCCCUAUUAGGUACUACAUGAGCCACCUCCGGCUGUUAUUGCCACCAUUGUUGUGAAGUGCAAUCCAUGCAGCUACCAAAUAAAUUUUAUUUUUUAAAAAAAAUAAGUUUAAUUUUUUAAAAAAUUAAAAACUGAAAAUUGGAAGUGAUGCUUAGUAAUAUUAUGCAAGAAAUCUACUCCUGCUUGGGCAUUGAGACCCUAAAUCCAAACCUUAUGACUUAGGAGAUAAAAGAGAGGGACAGGCACAUGCUUAACAUCACUCAAAUCACUCUACCGUUCAAAAAACCUGGAAGCAUUUGCUAAUCAAAAAACACAUGCUAGCACGAAAUGAAGAGCAAGACAGCAAAUCGUUGUUCUAAGAUAAUCAAUCACGCUAACCCAAUGAAAUGUUAAAAAAUUUCCAGAAAGAAACUAUAAUGAACUUGUCUGAAAUAUAAAAGAAAAUAAAAUGGGGGAGAAAAGAAAUUAAACUCUUACACAAAUUCUUCUUUAUUUGUGUGAUGAUCAGCCUGUGAAGAGACUCCGGACUUCAGAGAGACUGCAGCAGGAGAAAGCAUAGCCAGGGUGGAGGACAGGACGAGGGAGGAAGAUGUCACGCUUGGUAUCAUAAAACCCGGCAUAGUAGAUUCCCUUGACGGAAGUAUUAUUCCGGACUCUCACGGGACAUUCGUCGAAUAAUUCCCCUGCCCUUUGCGUGCUCGGUUGUUCCACCGUGGGAUUUCUCGUUAUCCUGCGCGUUG
RNAcentral lists this long non-coding RNA (3142 nucleotides) under Phoenix dactylifera (date palm). RNAcentral's name for it is "long non-coding RNA (PDAC_LNC000360)". The record is from RNAcentral. Lineage: Eukaryota; Viridiplantae; Streptophyta; Magnoliopsida; Arecales; Arecaceae.